GUAGGGGGGUCGAUUUAGCCAUGCUAGUUGCACGAGUUCACACUCGUGGCGAAAAGCUCAGUAACACGUGGCCAAACUACCCUACAGAGAACGAUAACCUCGGGAAACUGAGGCUAAUAGUUCAUACGGGAGUCAUGCUUGAAUGCCGACUCCCCGAAACGCUCCGGCGCUGUAGGAUGUGGCUGCGGCCGAUUAGGUAGACGGUGGGGUAACGGCCCACCGUGCCAAUAAUCGGUACGGGUUGUGAGAGCAAGAACCCGGAGACGGAAUCUGAGACAAGAUUCCGGGCCCUACGGGGCGCAGCAGGCGCGAAACCUUUACACUGCACGCAAGUGCGAUAAGGGGACCCCAAGUGCGAGGGCAUAUAGUCCUCGCUUUUCACGACUGUAAGGCGGUCGUGGAAUAAGAGCUGGGCAAGACCGGUGCCAGCCGCCGCGGUAAUACCGGCAGCUCAAGUGAUGACCGAUAUUAUUGGGCCUAAAGCGUCCGUAGCCGGCCACGAAGGUUCAUCGGGAAAUCCGCCAGCUCAACUGGCGGGCGUCCGGUGAAAACCACGUGGCUUGGGACCGGAAGGCUCGAGGGGUACGUCUGGGGUAGGAUGAAAUCCUGUAAUCCUGGACGGACCACCGAUGGCGAAAGCACCUCGAGAAGACGGAUCCGACGGUGAGGGACGAAAGCUAGGGUCUCGAACCGGAUUAGAUACCCGGGUAGUCCUAGCU
RNAcentral lists this ribosomal RNA (719 nucleotides) under Haloferax mediterranei. RNAcentral describes it as "bacterial SSU rRNA". It matches the Rfam family "Archaeal small subunit ribosomal RNA", at positions 32 to 752 of the family's 1478-position model. The record is from RNAcentral. Lineage: Archaea; Methanobacteriati; Methanobacteriota; Halobacteria; Halobacteriales; Haloferacaceae.